AGAGUUUGAUCAUGGCUCAGGACGAACGCUGGCGGCGCGCCUAAAACAUGCAAGUCGAACGAGAAGCCCGGGCUUGCCCGGGUGGACAGUGGCGAACGGGUGAGUAACACGUGAGGAACCUGCCCCAAAGACCGGGACAACACCGGGAAACCGGUGCUAAUACCGGAUACCUUCACCGGAUCGCAUGUUCUGGUGAAGAAAUGGAUUCCGCUUCGGGAUGGCCUCGCGGCCUAUCAGCUAGUUGGUGAGGUAACGGCUCACCAAGGCGACGACGGGUAGCUGGUCUGAGAGGAUGUCCAGCCACACUGGGACUGAGACACGGCCCAGACUCCUACGGGAGGCAGCAGUUAGGAAUCUUGCGCAAUGGACGAAAGUCUGACGCAGCGACGCCGCGUGCGGGAUGAAGGCCUUCGGGUUGUAAACCGCUUUCAGCAGGGACGAAAUUGACGGUACCUGCAGAAGAAGCCCCGGCCAACUACGUGCCAGCAGCCGCGGUAAUACGUAGGGGGCGAGCGUUGUCCGGAUUUAUUGGGCGUAAAGAGCUCGUAGGCGGUUUGGUAAGUCGGAUGUGAAAUCUCCAGGCUCAACCUGGAGGGGUCAUUCGAUACUGCCAUGACUAGAGUUCGGUAGGGGUGUGUGGAAUUCCCGGUGGAGCGGUGAAAUGCGCAGAUAUCAGGAGGAACACCCGUAGCGAAGGCGGCACACUGGGCCGAUACUGACGCUGAGGAGCGAAAGCGUGGGGAGCGAACAGGAUUAGAUACCCUAGUAGUCC
Molecule: ribosomal RNA, 772 nt
Filed under: uncultured bacterium
Lineage: Bacteria
Description: bacterial SSU rRNA
Rfam family: Bacterial small subunit ribosomal RNA
Source: RNAcentral